GGGAACAAGAACAAGGUGAAGGGACAGCCAGCAGCUCCAGUGGCCAAAGACCCAUCCUCUUGCUCUUCAUCUCUGGAAACCAGAGUGGUUUACCUCACCCAGGUGGAUGAAGACCAUAGUAGGAUUCGCUCUUUUUCUUGGUAUUUUUGUCACCCUUGAAGACAGCAAUGGAUCAGCAGAGUGUGGAUUCUCACAGUCACCACUUUUGCGAUAUCCUUGGCUGGUUCCCCCCUAGAGCCACCCAUAUGCCUUCCCCAGCUUCCCUC
This is a long non-coding RNA of Myodes glareolus (Bank vole), 266 nucleotides long. RefSeq lists it as uncharacterized. The record is from RefSeq and is a predicted model, not a curated record. NCBI's taxonomy places the organism in Eukaryota, Metazoa, Chordata, Mammalia, Rodentia, Cricetidae.